CGGACCAAGGAGUCUAACAUGUCUGCGAGUGUUUGGGUGUCAAACCCGAGCGCGCAAUGAAAGUGAAUGCAGGUGGGAGGCGCGAGCCGCACCAUCGACCGAUCUGGAUCUUUAGUGAUGGAUUUGAGUAAGAGCAUAUAUGUUGGGACCCGAAAGAUGGUGAACUAUGCCUGAAUAGGGCGAAGCCAGAGGAAACUCUGGUGGAGGCUCGUAGCGAUUCUGACGUGCAAAUCGAUCGUCAAAU
Molecule: ribosomal RNA, 244 nt
Filed under: Dacryonaema rufum
Lineage: Eukaryota; Fungi; Basidiomycota; Dacrymycetes; Dacryonaemataceae
Description: partial large subunit ribosomal RNA
Rfam family: Eukaryotic large subunit ribosomal RNA
Source: RNAcentral